AAAAACGUAUCAAGGUCACACAAGUAUGUAGUGUGCAGUGGAGCACAGAUUCAAACCCAGAUUGAGUCCUGACCCCUAUACUCACCUCUCUUAGACCCAGGGUAGGCUAAACUCUGUAGCAGGUUGAAAAGUUAGCUCUUUCCAGCAUGGGAAGACACAGACUAAGUGAGGCAGAACCAAGUUCUAAGAUAAAAAUUUGGAUACAGAGAACACGAAAUGGAGUUAUAAAAACUCCAAACACUAAAAUAAAGGAAAUGCCUUUUCGAAUGUAAAAUAAAUUUGAGGAGAAACAGAGCCUGUGGCUUUCUUAAUCCUGUUACGGGUAGUAAAGAUAUAAAACUCUAAUCGGUUGGGUAAGCCAAAAACAGAAAUAGGUUCAAGGAGAUCCUGCAGGAAUGUGUUGAUCAGAGAAUAAAGCACUUCCUUUUAUUAUGUGUUGGGAUGAAUAUGAAAUUAUCAAUUUUUUGUUUAAAAACAAAUAUUAAUUCCAUAUGGUUUAACUUAGCUAGAGAAUUGCGCCUGGCUUUUAUGUGUAAAGGAUACAGAAACCAUACGCAGAGUUGAUUGUAAUUCCACUCACUAAGACCGCACACAGGAUGCAAGGAACUAGUACUAAAAUGUUUGGUUUUGGUUUUGUUGAAAUCUCUUCUUAGACUUUUGUAUGUAUACGGGCUGUGGGACUGGUUGGAAAUGUAAUUAUUCAGAUUAAUGUCUCUUUGGUUGUCACAGAACUGGAAAUUGAGUUUUGGUGAUCUUUUUGCUCUAACCAUCUAAUGGAAGUAUGGCAAAACCUCAACCAAGUAGGAAUUCACUUCAAUCAUCCAUCAAAUGAGGACAUGUGUACCUCUCAGUUCUAAAAGUUUACAGAGAGUUAAGGUGAAACAGCUGGCUUUGGCUGCCAGAAUUGUCAAAGUCUGGUCCCAUAUCUUUUCUCCCCUCAAUAUGGUUUUUCAGAACCCUACAAUCAAUUUUAUCAGAUACAGAUAAACCAACUGGGACAGGAGAUUUACAGAUUUAGCAAAUAAAAAUACGAGAUGUCCAGUUAAAUUUGAAUUUCAGAUAAACCUUGAAUCAUAUUUUAGAAUAAGUAUAUCCCCUGAAAUAUUUGGGACAUACUUAUACAAAAAACUGGGUGGUUUAUCUGAAAUUCAAAUGUAGUUUGGGUAUCCUGUAUUUUAUCUGGAAACCUUGCUCUGGCUAAGGUUUCAAGUGAGUCCGUGAAUUCCAUGAAAAUUUCUGGAAUAUUAUGAAACAUGUUACGCCUGUGUGUUUGUGUUUUUCUGUAGAGCGGGCUUAGAGAUUUCAUGAAAUCUUCUGAAAAGGGCCCGUAACCCAAAAUAGACCCAGAACCAUUGGGCUGAGAAUGGUCAGACAAGAAAUAGUCACAAAAUUCUACCGUCUUCAAGGAGUGGGCAAGUCACUGUGAAAGAAUUACACUGUGUCCCGGCCUGAUACAGCUCUCAAAUGAAAAUCUUCUAGAGCUGACUAUAGAAAAGAGUUGUCACUUUAUAUUUAAGAACAUUCUCUUUUCUGCUGCCCUCCACCCUUGCCUCCUGGGAGAGACUCCACAUGGGGCAAGCUGAAAAGCCAUGUGUGCUGAAGUGUCACUGUCACUCUCAUGACAGAAUGAGCUGGGAUCCCAGAAUGUGUCCUUGCCAAAGGGGCGAAUCAGCUGCGCCUUCUCCCUGUCCUGUCACAUUCCUGUGGCUGCAUCUGUCCGAGCUCAUCAGGACUGACUCCUGGAAUAGAAACACUCCAGCCUCUGCUGCUUGCCAUUUUAAGUUAAGUUGGACUUGAGGGGGGGUUUUCCACUUUACUGUUUCAUUUCUAACCUAAAAUGUAUGAUCAGCAUAGCCAUAUGUGUACAUCGGGAACAAAAACUUGUCUUACGGUUCAGUCAACAAUACUUUCUUUUCAUAGGGGGAGUUUCUAUCUUGCCAGUCGAAUAUUUCUGGGAAUUCAAAGAGUUUAUCUGACUUUUGUGCUACCAACUGAGUUGAAACGGACUGUAUUUCAUCUAAAUGGGUCAGGUACUAAAUGUUUACAUGGUUCCUGAUCAAAAUGAAGAGGGAAUUCUAAACCUUGUGAACCAAACCUAAGAAUGUUACUUUGUCUCUCCUUUCUUUAUAAAACAGAGAGGAAGAAAAAAAAUACAUUAGGCUUUAGAGACUUAAAAUUAUUAAUAGAAACGACUAGCAAUUUUACUAUUUAAAGGCAUCCCUCUCAGGCAUUUCUAUCCCUAGGCAUUCUCCUAAUCUAUGGCAUUCCUUACAUUUCAAGAAAAAGUUUUCUGGCUCCCAAUUUCCCAUCGGGCACAGGCACAGAACGGUACCGCCCGCUGUAGACGGCAGUCAGUGAAUUGCUCCCAAGCCGGGAGCACGCGGUCACAGCCACCCUCUCGCACCCACACACCCAUACGCACCCUCGAAUCUAGAAGACAGGAAUUGGAGAGCGUGGCCCCAGCUCCUUACCCUCCUGUGCAAAGUGGCGUCCAGACGUGUGAUGGUAAAGACAACCUUUUUCAAAUCCCCUUGGCCAUGUGACUACAUUCUGGCUAAUGAGAUGGCAGCAGAAGCGGGAUGUGGGAUUUCUAGGAAGUCUCCUUCCUAGGAGGGAAAGAGGGAAAAAACACAUCUUUCAUUUUGAAAAAGAUGUUCUUAUUCAAGAAAUGGUUUGCGGACCCCUGGUCUAGAAAAUAUGCGGGAAGCUCUGAGAAAAGAGGCCAAGAAGACCGAGAGCCUGAAAUGUCUCAGCACUGCCACAGACCUUUGCUCAUUCACUGUUUCAUUUAGUCCCAACAAGUGAGCAGGAUAAGAGGUAUUUCCCCCAUUUUCACAGGGGCAAAAAAUGUUGUUCUCAAGAUGAGAAGUCAAAGUCUACAUGGCUAGUGAAAGUGGGGCUUGAAUUAAAGUCCAAGUCAGUCUGA
Molecule: long non-coding RNA, 2926 nt
Organism: Felis catus (domestic cat)
Lineage: Eukaryota; Metazoa; Chordata; Mammalia; Carnivora; Felidae
Exons: 3
Source: RefSeq, a predicted model, not a curated record